RNAcentral lists this ribosomal RNA (734 nucleotides) under uncultured Pseudomonas sp. Its description in RNAcentral is "bacterial SSU rRNA". It matches the Rfam family "Bacterial small subunit ribosomal RNA", at positions 114 to 863 of the family's 1533-position model. Lineage: Bacteria; Pseudomonadati; Pseudomonadota; Gammaproteobacteria; Pseudomonadales; Pseudomonadaceae. The record is from RNAcentral.
CGCGUUGGUGACCUACCCCAAAGUGUGGGAUAACAAUCCGAAAGGAUUGCUAAUACCGCAUGUGGUCUCUGGAUUUAGAAACCGGUGACUAAAGGAGCAAUUCGCUUUGGGAGGGACCUGCGUCCCAUCAGCUAGUUGGUGAGGUAACGGCUCACCAAGGCGACGACGGGUAGGGGACCUGAGAGGGUGGCCCCCCACAAUGGAACUGAAACACGGUCCAUACACCUACGGGUGGCAGCAGUAGGGAAUAUUGGUCAAUGGGCGAAAGCCUGAACCAGCAACGCCGCGUGUGCGAUGAAGGCCUUCGGGUCGUAAAGCACUUUUCUGGGAGAUGAGAAAGGACAGUAUCCCAGGAAUAAGUCUCGGCUAACUACGUGCCAGCAGCCGCGGUAAAACGUAGGAGGCGAGCGUUAUCCGGAUUCACUGGGCGUAAAGCGCGUGCAGGUGGCUUGGUAAGUUAGGCGUGAAAUCUCCCGGCUCAACUGGGAGAGGUCGUCUAAUACUACCGGGCUUGAGAGCAGAAGAGGAAGAUGGAAUUCCCGGUGUAGUGGUGAAAUGCGUAGAUAUCGGGAGGAACACCAGUGGCGAAGGCGAUCUUCUGGUCUGUUUCUGACACUCAGACGCGACAGCUAGGGUAGUAAACGGGAUUAGAGACCCCGGUAAUCCUAGCCGUAAACGAUGUAAACUUGGCGUUGGUGGGUUAAACUCCAUCAGUGCCGCAGCAAACGCGAUAA